This 761-nucleotide ribosomal RNA is filed under the name uncultured marine haptophyte. RNAcentral describes it as "bacterial SSU rRNA". It matches the Rfam family "Bacterial small subunit ribosomal RNA", at positions 543 to 1312 of the family's 1533-position model. Lineage: Eukaryota; Haptophyta. The record is from RNAcentral.
AUCCGGAAUCAUUGGGCGUAAAGCGCCUGUAGGUUGUUUAAUAAGUCUGUUGUUAAAGACUAGGGCUUAACCCUAGAAAAGCAAUGGAAACUACUAGACUAGAGUAUGGCAGGGGUAGAGGGAAUUUCUAGUGUAGCGGUGAAAUGCGUAGAUAUUAGAAAGAACACCGGUGGCGAAAGCGCUCUACUGGACCAUUACUGACACUCAGAGGCGAAAGCUAGGGUAGCAAAAGGGAUUAGAUACCCCUGUAGUCCUAGCCGUAAACGAUGGAUACUAGAUGUUGUGCAUAAUGUACAGUAUCGUAGCUAACGCGUUAAGUAUCCCGCCUGGGGAGUACGCUCGCAAGGGUGAAACUCAAAGGAAUUGACGGGGGCCCGCACAAGCGGUGGAGCAUGUGGUUUAAUUCGAUGCAACGCGAAGAACCUUACCAGGGCUUGACAUACUACAGAUUCUUUUGAGAAAAAGAAGUGCCUUCGGGAAUGUAGAUACAGGUGGUGCAUGGCUGUCGUCAGCUCGUGUCGUGAGAUGUUGGGUUAAGUCCCGCAACGAGCGCAACCCUUAUUUUUAGUUACUAAUUCGUUAGGUUCUCUAGAAAGACUGCCGGUGACAAACCGGAGGAAGGUGAGGAUGACGUCAAGUCAGCAUGCCCCUUAUGUCCUGGGCUACACACGUGCUACAAUGGUUAAGACAAAGAGUCGCGAGCUCGCGAGAGUCAGCUAAUCUCAUAAACUUAGCCUAAGUUCAGAUUGUAGGCUGCAACU